UUAACUUCCACUGUACACAUCAAAGAAGCAUCGCCAUGAGAAAAAUCAGCGUGGUUCCAAACAAGGAGACAGGCUGGAAGAACAGGCAGUGGAAACCCAGACAUAGCAUCAAAACCACGGAAAUGAAGGAAUCAGAAGUGGAAGAUUAGAAGUAAAAAGUGGAAGAUUUUUUUCCUAUCCAGUGCCUGUUACAGAAUUCUGACAUUAUCUCUGGUAGUUACUACGAUGAGCAGCAACAUCUGGGCCUGCCAAUCUUCAAAAUCCAUAAGUGGGCUACUGCCUGGAGCAUAAAUCUGCUUUGUAUGUGGCAUUUUGAACUAACAGAACACAACAUUGCGAAAAUAGACUGCAUUGGAAAUACUCCCUCAGAGAAGAAAGAAUGCAUUGCAUGGCCUUCACAUGCCUUUUACUGCAGAUAUAAUGAAUCUAUAAUAGCAUCCUCUUCUUCACCCCCCAACCCAGCUAGCUAGGUAGCUGCAAUUUACAAGCAAUGGAUUGAUUUUAGCUCGGAAGUCUCAACUGACACAGGAAAUGUUCACUGCUCUGUCUGCAAAGUCACUGAAAAUUCUGUGUAUAAACUGGGUAAGAGCUCAUGCAAAUAUCCAGCUGGGGAUUUAACAGACGGUCUCUGCACACUAUGUC
Long non-coding RNA from Grus americana (Whooping crane), 642 nucleotides. RefSeq lists it as uncharacterized. The record is from RefSeq and is a predicted model, not a curated record. NCBI's taxonomy places the organism in Eukaryota, Metazoa, Chordata, Aves, Gruiformes, Gruidae. The transcript is spliced from 3 exons.